Bactrocera neohumeralis is the source of this 343-nucleotide long non-coding RNA. RefSeq lists it as uncharacterized. The record is from RefSeq and is a predicted model, not a curated record. The transcript is spliced from 2 exons. Lineage: Eukaryota; Metazoa; Arthropoda; Insecta; Diptera; Tephritidae.
UUGUAUUUCUUUAGAAGUUUUUGCGAUGGCGUUACUUGGUCAAAUAAUUUUCGCUCUACUAGUCAUAGCAGUUCUACUAAAUGGCGGCGAAUGUAGACCUGAACCAGUACUUGGUGCUGUGAGUAGCCUAGCCGGUGGUUUGCCUGGCGCUGCUGCAUUACCCGGACUUUUGCUUCCGUUGGCCGGAGCUCUGCCGCUACCUGGUGGACGUUAAAAGCCGCCUUGCAGCGCAGUACGUGGAUUCAAGCUGGUCAAAUGUGAUUUACUCUUCACAAUAACGUGUAAAAUUUUCGACGAAAUAGUUACUUACAAGCCAAAUAAAAAUAUUUGAGUAGUCACAAAA